Punica granatum (pomegranate) is the source of this 2254-nucleotide non-coding RNA. The record is from RefSeq and is a predicted model, not a curated record. Lineage: Eukaryota; Viridiplantae; Streptophyta; Magnoliopsida; Myrtales; Lythraceae.
UGUCAAGAAAAGUAAAAGCUCCCGCUGACUGGCAACUGCUUGGGGCUCUGCUCUCUCGUCUUGUUCUCUCUCCUGCGUCUGCGUUGCGUUUCGUUUCGUUUCGUUUCGUUUCGUUUCCUUAGAUGAAAUUUAGAGCGCUCUCUCUUCCUACUGACGGAUUGGAAUUGGAUUGCUCCUCUUCUCCAUAUCGUUGGGAUCUGUCCGCCAAACUAGAAGAAAGAGAAGCAAUGGGCUUCGAGCAUCGCUUCGUUAAGAUGGACGCUUCAUCGCUCUUCCUUUCCUUUUUUUCGACGCCGAGUGAUUGAAUGAGGUUUCUGCUUUGUUCUUCAUGCUGGACCAUAGAGGGACAGUGGAAGCUCGAUUGGUAGGAAACGCCAAAGCUCUCAUUUUCCCCUUCCUGGAGUUGGAAAUCAAAGUAUUUUGACCUUGAUCUUCCUAAUCCUGGGUACAAUGUGGCAAUCAAAUGGGCAACUAUCACUCCAGGUACUGUAUUUAGAGAGCCAAUCCUGUGCAAGAAUGUUCCUCAGUUCGUCCCAGGUUGGACGAAGUCAAAUAUGCAUUUGAAGGCAUGCUUUUGGUGAUCAAUAUCGGGCUACUGACACUGUCAUUAGAGGAGCUGGGAAACUCAAACUUGUCUUUAGUAAGAGUUGGGCGUAUGGCUCACAUGAUCCUCUGUUUUUUGUGGUAAUAUGCUAUUGCAUGAGAUUGGAUACUUAUAGUUGAUACUUGAUACUUAUAUAGACUACGACAUGCAUAUCUGUAGUAACAGAAGGAAAAGAUGAGAAAACUGAGUUGGAAGUUUUGAACUUUACUGGUGCCUGUGGAAUUGCGCUUUCAAUGUAUAAUACAGAUGAGGUUUUGCUCUUAGGACUUUAUUUUGAAUGCACCUAUUAAACUUGUUAUUAGGGGCCAAGAAGAAGCUCUUGGACUUGCAUCUAUCUGUGUAACCUGGAUCCAAGUAUAUCUGUGCUAUGAUGCAGUCCAUACGUGCAUUUGCUUUCUCUUCAAUGAGCUCUGGUUAUCAGAAGAAAUGGCCUCUUUAUCUUAGCGCCAAAAACACUAUUCUCAAGAAAUAUGAUAUGUAUUAUGUCAGCAUUAUGCUUUUCAGUAUUAUGCUCCAUACUUACUGCCUUUUUCUCUUCAUACCAUCCGGCCAUCUGUUAUUGCACCCUUGAAGAUUCAAAGACAUGUUCCAAGAAGUGUAUGCGGCUGUAUGGAAAUCAAAGUUUGAGGCUGCUGGGAUAUGGUGAGAUGUUCUAGUGUGUCACUUAAAAAGUUGACUGGGACAAGUUUGUAUUUCUAUCGCUUUUUUACAGGGAAAAUGGAAAGGUAUGAACAUUGUCUUAUUGAUGAUAUGAUGGCUUAUGGCCUUCGGACUUAUGGUGGAUACUUAUGGGCAUGCAAGAACAAUGAUGGGGAUGUCCAGAGUGACUUCUUAGCUCAAGAAAAGCCUUCUGAUUGCACAAUAAUGGUGUUUGACUGAAGGCCUUGGAUCUCUUGGGCUGAUGACAUCUGUGCUGAGUUCCACUUAUCUCAGGUUUGCCCCGAUGGGAGGACAAAAGAAGCAGAGGCAGCUCAUGGUAUCGUGACCUGCCAUUACAGGGCUCACCGGAAGGGAGGUGAAACUAGCACAAAUAGCAUAGCCUCUACUUUUGCUUGGUUGAGAGAUGAUGUUGAUAGGGUUAUGAGGGAGCAGUACCUUAACACAGAAGAGUUCCAUAGAUGCUGUGGCAGCUGAGCUACAGCCAAGGCUUACAUGCUAAAAGCUUCUAAUUUUAGUGAUUUCCUACUGGAUUUACUUGGCUACACAGAAGAUAAAAGGGAGGGGGGGGGGGGGGGGGGGGGGGGGGGGGGGGGGGGGGGGGGGAGAGAGGAGUUGAAGACAGAGUGUAGGGAGGGGUCGGAUGGAUGAAAUAAAAGGUAAAAGGGUUUGUUGUUUGGGAGGGCAUUUCUUCUCUCCUUUAAAAAAAUUCCAAUUGCCUUUCUUUUCUUUUUUUUCUUUUUUUUUCCAAUUGAUUACUUUGGAUUGGGGAUGGGAGCUAUAUAUAUAUAUAUAUUUCUUUGAAAGCACUUAUGCGCAUGGAUGGGAUGGAUGGAUUCUAUUUUUAAAUCGAUCACCUGUGCCUGAGCUGUUGAGCACCUUCGCCCUCUUGAAUUGAUCAGGAGAUUGUGUUUGUUGUGGUGGCAAUGUCAUGUAAUUUUAUGCAUUCAUUUCAUCCACCCAUUAUUAUGUUUGCUGCUGCUGCUUCUUAUA